This 497-nucleotide long non-coding RNA is filed under the name Rattus norvegicus (Norway rat). Its description in RNAcentral is "long non-coding RNA NONRATT011842". The record is from RNAcentral. Lineage: Eukaryota; Metazoa; Chordata; Mammalia; Rodentia; Muridae.
AGCCCCUCCCUCCCGUCCUCCAUCCUUCUCUCCUUUUUGUCGUCUGUGCGUGUGUCCUUUCUCUGCCUGUCGUUCCCCUCUCCCAUCUGUCUGUCCACCUGUUUGGUCGGUCCCUCCACAGCUCCUGCUACUCCUGUCCCUGACCCAGAGCCUCGAGCGGCAGUUGCGGGCGGCGCUGGUCCCGCUCGCGGCCCUGCGGUUCCGCCUGCUCCUCCUGUCCCUCCGGGGUCUCCUGCUCGUGGCCCGGGCCAAAAUGCUGGCCACCCUGCUCAUCACCCGGCAGCUGCUGCAGAAUGUGCGUGAGGUGCUGCAGCCGCACCUGUACCGCAGGUUGGGCAGCGGGGAGCUGGGCCUGCGCACCAUCCUGGAGCUGGCCCGGGCCCUGCUAGGCUUGCUCAACCCCUUGCGCCCGGACCCCCGACGGCACUUGGAGGCCCAGGCUGAUGAGGGCGGAGCGGGGAGCCGCAGGUGCCUGGGCGGUGGCUGCGGGGCGCCCG